Molecule: long non-coding RNA, 910 nt
Filed under: Equus caballus (horse)
Lineage: Eukaryota; Metazoa; Chordata; Mammalia; Perissodactyla; Equidae
Description: lncRNA (ENSECAG00000060029.1)
Source: RNAcentral
CAGGCAUCAGCAGGUUCUGGAACCAGAGCCUCUGUCUCUUUGGAAACAUGUGGACUUUAUCCCUGUGGCUGUGCUCUCAUUGUUCCCUCUCUGCCGGAUGGGCCCGUGCCUAUCACAGUGCCAAGCAUACAAUGGGUGUGAUGUAAAUAUUUUUGAAUGAAUGAAUUACUGGCGUAUCUCUGCUUCUCCAUUAAUAUGGAUGAGGAAUGACUGCACAGAAUGGCUGUUGGUACCAUCGCUACUGACUCCCUAACUUAAUCUUUGCUUCACAAUUUAAAACUCUUGGGUUAAGACUCUGGUUGACUCAACUUGGCAAUGGAUUGACUCCUUCUUGGGGCCCUCUGCAGUAUGACUUUGCUGCCUUGCCCAUGAAGAAGAAGGCCUUUAACCCUGGGCUGAUUUUAUGACUUGCUUUGAGUAGCAGAAUGAGGGGAACUGAUGGUGCAGGAGUUCCGAAGCCUAAUUCUUAAGAGGCCUGAGCACAGAGCCACCACCAUGCGAGGAAUCCCACCUUUGCCUGCUGGAUACAGAGGGUCUGUGGCGGGCCAGUCAUAACCACCAGCUACGAAGACAAGGCCGCUUCAGAGUGUCGAGCCCCCCUUGAGCUACCAAUGACUGCUGCCGUGUGAGUGACCUCAAAUGAGACCAACAGGAGUCCUUGUUUAUUCAUUCAUACAACAGACGUCAGUGUCCUUCCUACAUGCCUGGCACAGUGUUACAUCCUGAAGCUACAGACAAAGCUUAUAACUAUCUCCUCUGAGGAACUGUGGAGCGAAGGAAUACAAAUGAUCGAUGUAGCCUAUAACCACAGGACAAUGGUACAACCAAGACUCCUGUCCCUGUUGCAGGUCCUCUAGUUGUGGGAUGUGGGACGCCGCCUCAACGUGGCCCGACGAGUGGUGCCAUGUCC